UUACCAUGCAGUCGACGGUGAGAGGAGCUUGCUCCUUGGAUCAGUGGCGAACGGGUGAGUAACACGUGAGCAAUCUGCCCUUGACUCUGGGAUAACUGCGGGAACUGUAGCUAAUACCGGAUAUUACCUUGGAAGGCAUCUUCUGGGGUGGAAAGAAUUUUGGUCAAGGAUGAGCUCGCGGCCUAUCAGCUAGUUGGUGAGGUAAUGGCUCACCAAGGCGACGACGGGUAGCCGGCCUGAGAGGGUGACCGGCCACACUGGGAUUGAGACACGCCCAGACUCCUACGGGAGGCAGCAGUGGGAAAUUUGACAAUGGGCGCACCCUGAAGACACAAACGCGGUGGGGGGACGGCGGCCUCGGGUGAAACCCUUAAUAGGAGAACGACUGGUUU
RNAcentral lists this ribosomal RNA (392 nucleotides) under uncultured bacterium. RNAcentral describes it as "bacterial SSU rRNA". It matches the Rfam family "Bacterial small subunit ribosomal RNA", at positions 49 to 455 of the family's 1533-position model. The record is from RNAcentral.